UCAAAUCAUUAAUUCCGAGCCCUUGAUCCUAAAGGCAUCCUAUGGAUCAGGGCCGCUAGGGUUUAAAUGGAAACGUUUAGGCCUCCACGUUGGGAAGGAAUUAAUUAACCACCCGU
Molecule: non-coding RNA, 116 nt
Filed under: Acetobacterium wieringae
Lineage: Bacteria; Bacillati; Bacillota; Clostridia; Eubacteriales; Eubacteriaceae
Description: MoCo sequence
Rfam family: Molybdenum/Tungsten riboswitch aptamer (Moco RNA motif)
Source: RNAcentral